AGGGGUUAUAUGAUUAUGAAUCUCAUGAAAGCACCAGAAGAACUACAAAUUUGAUGCAUAAACAAAAAAUGGAGUAGCAAAAAGACCAUGGCAAAUGUUACUAGAGAUUACCUCAAGUCUAUUGUGGGCGUUGACACGAAACAAUGCUUUAAAGAUAUGACCCCUAUGCAGAACAACAGAAACGUAUCAUCAAACUCUCAUUCAACGACACAUUCUUUUAAUUACUUCAUUUACCAAUAUACAAGUAUUCAAGCAAGUUACGAGGCUGACCUCUAGUGCUUUAUGAACAGCUUCUGCUGGCCAAUGUGGAGCAAAAUAUUUCCUCUGGGGGUAAGAAGUAAUUGGCGGGUCUCCGUAUACAAUGGGAUCUGGGCAUGAACCUGAAUAUAUUUGUCCACCAACACCGGGUGAUAAUGUUAGCUGCACAGGGAAACUUUCGCUCUCCGCUGC
RNAcentral lists this long non-coding RNA (450 nucleotides) under Nicotiana tabacum (common tobacco). Its description in RNAcentral is "long non-coding RNA (NTAB_LNC003876)". The record is from RNAcentral. Lineage: Eukaryota; Viridiplantae; Streptophyta; Magnoliopsida; Solanales; Solanaceae.